UAAUCGCGAAUCAGAAUGUCGCGGUGAAUACGUUCCCGGGCCUUGUACACACCGCCCGUCACACCAUGAGAGUCGAUAACACCCGAAGCCUGUGAGCUAACCUUUCAGGAGGCAGCAGUCGAAGGUGGGGUUGAUGAUUGGGGUGAAGUCGUAACAAGGUACC
RNAcentral lists this ribosomal RNA (163 nucleotides) under uncultured bacterium. RNAcentral describes it as "partial 16S ribosomal RNA". It matches the Rfam family "Bacterial small subunit ribosomal RNA", at positions 1339 to 1500 of the family's 1533-position model. The record is from RNAcentral.